GGUCUUUUAGUUUAAUAAAAACAUUAAAUUGCAAAUUUAAAAAUGAGGUUUUAUCUAAGACUU
This 63-nucleotide transfer RNA is filed under the name Scaphoideus varius. RNAcentral describes it as "tRNA-Cys". It matches the Rfam family "tRNA". Rfam says of the family: Transfer RNA (tRNA) molecules are approximately 80 nucleotides in length. Their secondary structure includes four short double-helical elements and three loops (D, anti-codon, and T loops). Lineage: Eukaryota; Metazoa; Arthropoda; Insecta; Hemiptera; Cicadellidae. The record is from RNAcentral.